RNA transcript from Rattus norvegicus (Norway rat), 7102 nucleotides. It is a transcript of the gene named alpha-1,3-mannosyl-glycoprotein 4-beta-N-acetylglucosaminyltransferase A, pseudogene 1, with no coding region annotated. Lineage: Eukaryota; Metazoa; Chordata; Mammalia; Rodentia; Muridae. The record is from RefSeq and is a predicted model, not a curated record.
GUGGCCGGCGGCCGCGGUAGAAGCGCCCUGGCCCGCGGCAGGAAGAAGAAAAAGAAACAGCAGCCCUUAGCCCUCAGCCUCUGAAAACCGCGAAGACAAUCUGGAAUAACAAUACCCACGCUUGCUUUGCUGCUUGACACCUUCUGCCCAGCAUCUGAAGUGAACCUCAAUCAUCAAUUGCUUUGUUUUUGGCCCGGGUCCAAGGCGUUCUGCCUUCUGUUGACUUGAGGCUGGAGAGAGACUGGUCUUGCUUGCUGUUGCCAACUUGUGAACCAGUGUGAUGGUGAAAUGAGAUGAGGCUCCGAAAUGGAACUGUGGCCACUGCGCUGGUGUUUGUCACGUCCUUCCUUACCCUGUCCUGGUAUACCACAUGGCAAAAUGGGAAAGAAAAAUUAAUUGCUUACCAACGAGAAUUCCUCGCUUGAAAAGAACGUCUUCGAGUGGCCGAACAUAGGAUAUCUCAGCGCUCCUCUGAGCUAAACACCAUUGUCCAACAGUUCCGCCGAGCUGGAGCGGAGACUAAUGGAAGUAAGGCUGGUCUGAGUACGUUCUAAGAUAAUACCAUAAAGCUUCUAAAAGAGUUGACAAGCAAAAAAUCACUUCAAGUGCCAAGUAUUUAUUAUCAUUUGCCUCAUCUAUUGCAAAAUGAAAGAAGCCUUCAGCCCGCCGUACAGAUUGGCAGUGGAAGAACGGGAGUUUCAAUAGUCAUGGGGAUUCCUACUGUAAAGAGAGAAGUUAAAUCUUACCUCAUAGAGACCCUUCACUCCCUUAUUGAUAAUCUGUAUCCUGAAGAGAAGCUGGACUGUGUUAUAGUUGUCUUCAUAGGAGAGACAGAUCUUGAUUAUGUUCACAGCGUUGUUGCCAACCUGGAGAAAGAAUUUUCUAGAGAAAUUAGUUCCGGCUUGCUAGAAGUAAUCUCUCCUCCUGAAAGCUAUUACCCCGACUUAACAAACCUGAAGGAGACGUCCGGAGACUCCAAGGAAAGAGUAAGAUGGAGAAGGAGAACGAAGCAAAACCUGGACUAUUGUUUUCUGAUGAUGUAUGCUCAGGAGAAGGGCAUUUACUACAUUCAGCUUGAAGAUGAUAUUAUUGUCAAGCAAAACUAUUUUAAUACCAUAAAAAAUUUUGCACUUCAACUUUCUUCUGAAGAAUGGAUGAUUCUAGAGUUUUCCCAGCUGGGCUUCAUUGGGAAGAUGUUCCAGGCGCCGGACCUAGCUCUGGUUGUGGAGUUCAUUCUCAUGUUCUAUAAGGAGAAGCCCAUUGACUGGCUCUUGGACCACAUUCUCUGGGUGAAGAUCUGCAACCCCGAAAAAGAUGCCAAACACUGUGACAGACAGAAGGCAAACCUACGAAUCCGCUUCCGACCCUCCCUCUUCCAGCACGUGGGUCUACACUCAUCUCUGUCGGGGAAAAUUCAGAAACUUACGGAUAAAGAUUACAUGAAACCAUUGCUUCUCAAGAUCCACGUGAACCUGCCUGCAGAGGUCUCCACUUCCCUGAAGGUGUACCAAGGGCACACACUGGAGAAGACCUACAUGGGGGAAGACUUCUUUUGGGCCAUCACCCCCACAGCUGGAGACUACAUCUUGUUUAAAUUCGACAAACCGGUCAAUGUGGAGAGUUAUUUGUUCCACAGCGGCAAUCAAGAGCACCCAGGGGACAUCCUGCUGAACACGACCGUGGAGGUUCUGCCUCUUAAGAGCGACAGUUUGGAGAUCAGCAAAGAAAUCAAAGACAAACGAUUAGAAGAUGGCUAUUUCAGAAUAGGGAAAUUUGAGUACGGAGUUGCAGAGGGAAUUGUGGAUCCUGGACUGAACCCUAUCUCAGCCUUUCGACUGUCGGUUAUUCAGAACUCUGCUGUCUGGGCCAUUCUCAAUGAGAUUCAUAUUAAGAAAGUCACCAGUUGAUCUGCUUAGAAACCAGCACGUCCUUUCUUGUGACUCUUGAUUAAAGAUACUGAGCACACCGUCCUCUUCUGCUGUGACUUGAACACUACCUCUCGUGAAGCCUACUGUAGAUAAGACGAUUACCAUCUCCACUUGGGCAGGGACCCUUCCCACCGACAACUGCAUUCAUUUGAAACGAGGCUGUCCUCCAAAUUUGAACUUGACACAAACAUUUUACAAUACUGACAGCCUGGUAACACGCCUGAGACUAUUUUGGUAUUAUACUAAUACACAAGAGUUGUACAUAUUGUUACAUUCCUUAAAAUUUGAGAAAACUGAUGUUAAAUACAUUUUGUGAAGGGGGUACUUUUGAAGUUCACUUAUUUUACUAUUAUAGACCCUCUUUUAUAGACGAUCAGGGAUGUUAUAUAUAUAAAUAUAAAUAUAUAAAUACACAUGAAGAUGUUAUGAAGUUAAUUUAUUAGAAGUACUUAAGAAGUACAUAUUUUUGUGCAGUAAAGUUUUGAAUCAACACCUUUUUUUGAAGAAGCAGUUCCUGGCUUUUUUAAGUUCCUUCUAUAUUUUUAUUUGUAGAUGCAGACAUUCUAGAUCAAUGCCAUUUUUUCCAGUGCACUGCCAUUCCAGAUUGGUUCUAGAUGGGUUUCUUAACUUGAAGUACUUUUAUAAUCACAGCAAUUCUGAACAAAAUAUUUUCAGAGGCAUUUGUCAUUCCUAAAAAAAAACAAUCAAGAUUUUAAAAGACCAGUGCCCUCUGGAGGGUUAUAUUACCGUACUGUGUGUGGUGUGUAGCCACAGAAACCCGUGUGAUUGUCAGUGUCGGGUGGGAGGCCCUGCCUCGUCUCCAUACACUCCUUCACCCCCUCAUAGUUCCCUCCAUGUGGGUGACGAGACUCCUUUCCCUUUUGCUCUGUCUUUAAUCAGUAGUUAGACACACUGUCUUCUUUUCUCUCUGGUCCUUUUAUAGACCUGUGGUGGGUUUUGACGUUCAGAUAAUGUUUCCUGGGUAAUGCUGUUGGAUGAGUCAUAUUGGGUAUAAUUUUACAACCAACAUUGUUAUGUGGGGCUCUGGUGAAAGACAACCGUAGCGCUUCUAGGUUUCCACAGCAUGUUUGCUCUGCUAUGUCCUGAAUGCAAGGGUGAAUGCGUGUGCAGUCCCAAGAAGUGCUAGUUGGCAAAAGUGCUUUACUCUUACACUUAGGAAGGCCGGGCAAGUUGCCAGUCUUCUCUGGCUCUCCAGGAGCUGCGCAUGCCCAGCAGGUGUGGGGGCCUAGGUGUGGAAGUUCCCAGCUGGUGGCCUCCACCCUGGAACUUUCUUAGUUGCCCAGUGUAUGGAACACAGUACAAAGCAGCAGCCAUUUUGUAUGUUCUGACUGGGGAAACGUAGAUAAACACUACUGUGCAUGUCAAAGCCCAGCUGAAGCUUUUCUUGGUGUUUUGUAAACUUUGUAAACAUGGUGUUUUGUUCAAGUUUUUAAUUUCUUCUCUGAUUUCCUUUGCCCUGUGCCCACAAGCACAUCCUUAGAAUAUUUAAGCACUAUCUUCCCACACUCAAGUGUGCAGCAGGGUAACAGACUGAAACCAUGCGGAUGGAUGCAGGGGCCCUUUUAGGUCUCUGCUUUCUCAGUGGCUGCAAGUUCAGAGCUUUGAAAAUCUAGUGGGUCACUUGACUGUCUCCUGCGUGGGUCUUUGAGCUGUCCUCCCGCCAGGCUCCUCUCAUUUGUCUUGCCUGUAGGGACUCUUAGCCAAGUCCUUUCCUUCAUUCCAGGAAUCCCUUUUCCCUUUGUGCGCUUACUCCCAGUGCCUAGAACAUGCCUGAGCCUCGGCAGGUUCUUUUAGCAUCUGGAUGAGUGGAUUAACUAGCCAGGUUGCUCACAUCUCUCUCCGAGCACUAUUUGCCUGCUAUCUUGUCAUGCAUGGGCACACACACUCCGUGUCUAGUCUUCAUUCUGUGUGGUGUGUGUUCUCCAACACAAUCCGAGCUCUGGAGUUCUCCUGUCUUCCACGUCAGGUGCUCAUUUGAUCCACCAGUGUUAGUUGCUCUCACUUUUGUGCCCAGUUCAGCACUAGACUAUCAGAAACAGUUUGGUUGGCCCAAGCAAGAUUUUUGUGGGAGCCCUGGAGAUUUGUGAAGGUAAAGACUAGAGGAGGUGAAGCCAGUUGGUACCAGUGUAUUUCAGAUACUCCAGACUCUAGAGUGGUGCUGGCCUCUACAGAAGCCACACAUCUGUUGAAAUGAAAUGUUGAGUUCUGUGCCCAUGUUGGCAGCAUUUGGAGUGGUCAGCGGCCACAUGGCCAGCAGCCACCAUAUUGGAUUCCAGAAAUAUGGGACAUUGACAUCAUGGUGGGAGGUUCUGCUGGUCAUAAAUAUAAGCAUUCUAGAAAGGAGUGAUGCAUCCUGCUGCUGUGAUUAAAAGUAGACCUAUGGAUUCAUGGUAGUAUAGGUGAAGGUGUGUAUUUUGAUGGGAUGGCCAAAAUUGCCUGGCUACAUGUUAGCAUUAUGAUUCUUCCCAGCAUGCAUUGUUUCAGUGUCCCCAAGAGGUACAUUUGAAAAGCAUGAGAAGUGAAUACAGGUGGAUGAUUUAGUUUGUAGCCUAGAUGUGUGUUAUGUCUGUCAGAGUGUGUUUGAACAAAUGUCAUUGGCUACUUGCAAAAGAUUAUUUCAAAAGCUGUCAGGAAAAGUUGAGAGACUAGAGUUCUUUUUAGUCUUUCAGAAUUAUAGGAACUAUAGUUCUCAACAGUGCUGUCCCUCAAGGAAGUUUGCUUAUGUGGAAAGAGGUGUUGUUAGCAAAGGUUUUUCCAGUUAAUAAGUGUGUAUCUGUCAUAUGCAGGAUUCUAAGAAUGACCCCUCCCAUGACUUUGUAUAAUAUCCUCCCCUUCUGAGUAUAGCGACAACUGUGACCAUGUCAUGUCUUGUUACUUAACAAAAGGGAGAUUACCUGUCAGUGGCUGAUCCAAUGUUGAGUGUCAUGUCAGGCUGGUACAAGUGAGAGACAGCAGCAGUAGAACUCUGAACAGCAUUGCUGGGCCUGCCUUAAGGAGCCAGAGGCUUUGUUACCCACUGAGUGGGAGCUGCAGACCUUUUGCCACAGGACCAUUUGACCCAGACACUUAACCGGUUUGGACAUGGAAAUGCUUGGGCGAGCAGUCAGCUGGGUAAACCUUCCCUGCAGCUUUGUAAGCGGGGCCCUACCUAGGCUUCUGAUGUGCAGCAGUGGGUAAGAAAUUGGCAGUGCUGUAUGUGGCUAGGUUUGUGUUUUGUAAAAAGUAACAAUCUCAGUCCUGAGAAGGCUUCAUAUGUGAUUGCCUGCAGUGACUGGUUUUUAAGACAAGGUCUCAUCUUGCACCCCAGGCUGGUUCUCCCAGUUCUGCCCCUCAAGUGUCGAUGUGCAUCACCAUGCCCAGUUGACUGAUGGCUUUUGACAUAAGAAUAAACUUGUUCCUAGCAAGCCCUAUUCCUGGCUCUCUGCUAGGAUGCUUGGUGCCAGGACCCGUCUCCACUACUAGCCAGACUUGCGUUAUUUUUUGUUGUGUAAAACUGGCAGGAUGAAGCUGGAGGUGUGGGCUGUAGGCAUCUUCUCCUAGAUACUCCUAAGUUGUACUGACUUAAAGGCCUGCCGGAAGUAGGGGGAAGAAUGAGGAACAACAGUAUUUUAGAUCAGAUCAACAAGAAGAAAAAUUCCCACCGUCAUGUCGAUUUGCUGGUGUCGAUUUGCUGGUGUGUCCAACCUUCUGACAGUGCAGUGGGACACUGUUCUCUACAGAGUCCAGGCUCAAGAACCUCACGGUCCAGUUACAAAAACAACGAAACUGUUAAAAAGCUUUGAGUAAGUUUACAAUUUUGUAUUGUGCCAUUCAUUGCUGUCCUGGGCCACAGGCUGAACAUACCUGCAAGAGCUUCAGCUACGACAGCUGUAAUUUUUAAAAGAUCUCUUAGCUGAGUAGCUCACGGGUCAAACCCUGUAUGUUCCAAGGUUUUGUAUUUACAUGUUUCCCAAAAUACCAUGCUUAUUGUUGCUAUUAUUCAACCAUGCUGCUGUAGCCUUGAGGGAAAUAAACAGAACUGAAGGAAAGGAACCCAGAGGUUAAACACUGUCGUCAUCUUCGCAUGGUGAGGGAUCGAGUCCCAGUUCAAGACUUCAGGGAAGGGCAUUCCCAAGCCACGUAGCAACAUUUACGGCUUGUAAAACUUAAACUGUGAUAGUUGUGAGGACUUAAAUGAUUAAUAUUAACAUAGAUGCUAUGCUAAUUAAUAUGCUAAAUUUAAUGCAUGUGAACAUAUGAUGCUACAAAGAUGACCACAGUCUUUACAAAGAGCAAAAGAAUAAAACCAACCAACCAACCCAAGGGUUUUGUUACUCGUGCCCCUGUACUCUAUCACUAGCUAAACAGACCUUUGUUGUUUCUGAAAUGCUCCCUUUUCCAGUUUCUGCACUACCUAAGGAUGCAAGUGUGAGAGCAGACAGGCAGCAGGUGGCCCUGUGUGAGCAGGGGCCGGAGAAGGACGGGAAGUGUCCAUGCAGGCACACAGGCGGCCACUGCAAGUGCAGCAGGAACCCCUGGACCGCAGAGGGAUUCUUGCUGCUCUCAACACAUGUGUUGUGGGAACAGCUAGGUACUUGUGAUACUAAGGAGGCUGCUUCUUGCAGCUGCUCUGCUGCUGAGUUAGCAAUUGUCCCAGAAUACAGAGUGGGGUCCUUUAGCUUGCGUAGCAUUCCACCCUUUAUUGGAAAUGCUCCAGCGCUGUGUAAGAGGACCUGAAGCGCAUUCUCUUGAGCCUUGCAAAGAGCUGCUGGGACAGUACUGUCCAGUCCACUAAGCUCACACCUCUUGCCCCCAGUGGAGUCAAAGACGCUCAUUUGGUGCACGUCCUCCACAAGGCUGUCUUCACACUGGGGGAUGUUCUGGAGUCUUGCUAGGUUGUACCAGGUCCUCUUUUCCUCUGCUCACAAUGUCUUUAUGGGUUGAACAUUAACUGCAGUAAUAUUUGAGGUACCUGUUGAAUUUUUAAAGGCAGAUUAUUUAUUUUUAAGUUUGCUGCUAUAAUCGAAACCUAAUAAUGUCCUGUUGACUGUGCCUUUCAUAACUGUCUCUGUGCUACAACUGUCCAUGUGUAUUUGACAUAAAGAUGUUUGAAAAGCUAUGUUGAAUCAAGAUUCCUUCUAAUAAAAAUGGCUUAAACCAAAAAAAAAAAUAAA